CUCAACUUAACUAACAAACGAUCGUCUAUCGUUACUAUUUCGAGAACUUUACUGAAUAUAACAAACCUUUUGUUUACAAUUCGAAACAGAAUUUAUGUACAUCAGAAUAUCACACAUCCGUCAUGCUUUAUAUUUGUUAAGUAUAAAAGAGUUAAGUGUCUAUAGUUAUAAAAAUUAAAAGACAGUUCACUUUUUCGGUUGUGAUCACUCAAUUCCACUAUUUUCUCAUUUCAGCAACGAAAUCUUGGUUUCUCAAACGUAGUACAGAGUAGUCUGCCGCCAAAGCUUGCUACCACCGGGGCAAAGUCGCCCAAGGAUUGGUACGAUGUACAAAUACAAAUGUUGAUCAAUCUCGGCUUGGAUUUCAACGACAUGCGAGGAUAUUUUCAAAAUUCUACAACGACGAAAACAUGCAUCAUUCCCGCUUGUUAGAGAUGAAACGUGCCACACUAUUUUGGAAUAAUUGAAUAAAAAAU
Paramuricea clavata is the source of this 476-nucleotide non-coding RNA. Lineage: Eukaryota; Metazoa; Cnidaria; Anthozoa; Malacalcyonacea; Plexauridae. The record is from the annotation of a GenBank genome assembly.